AUUGAACGCUGGCGGCAGGCUUAACACAUGCAAGUCGAGCGGUAACAUUUUUAGCUUGCUAGAAGAUGACGAGCGGCGGACGGGUGAGUAAUACUUAGGAAUUUACCUAGUAGUGGGGGAUAGCACGGGGAAACUUGUAUUAAUACCGCAUUCGACCUACGGGAGAAAGGGGGCAGUUUACUGCUCUCGCUAUUAGAUGAGCCUAAGUUGGAUUAGCUAGAUGGUGGGGUAAAGGCCUACCAUGGGGACGAUUUGUAGCUGGUUUGAGAGGAUGAUCAGCCACACCGGGACUGAGACACGGCCCGGACUCCUACGGGAGGCAGCAGUGGGGAAUAUUGGACAAUGGGGGCAACCCUGAUCCAGCCAUGCCGCGUGUGUGAAGAAGGCCUUUUGGUUGUAAAGCACUUUAAGCAGUGAAGAAGACUCCAUGGUUAAUACCCAUGGACGAUGACAUUAGCUGCAGAAUAAGCACCGGCUAACUUUGUG
RNAcentral lists this ribosomal RNA (486 nucleotides) under uncultured bacterium. RNAcentral's name for it is "bacterial SSU rRNA". It matches the Rfam family "Bacterial small subunit ribosomal RNA", at positions 30 to 507 of the family's 1533-position model. The record is from RNAcentral.